AACGAACGCUGGCGGCAUGCCUAACACAUGCAAGUCGAACGAGACCUUCGGGUCUAGUGGCGCACGGGUGCGUAACGCGUGGGAACCUGCCCUUAGGUUCGGAAUAACUCCCCGAAAGGGGUGCUAAUACCGGAUAAUGUCUUCGGACCAAAGAUUUAUCGCCUUUGGAUGGGCCCGCGUUGGAUUAGCUAGUUGGUAGGGUAAAAGCCUACCAAGGCGACGAUCCAUAGCUGGUCUGAGAGGAUGAUCAGCCACACUGGGACUGAGACACGGCCCAGACUCCUACGGGAGGCAGCAGUGGGGAAUAUUGGACAAUGGGCGAAAGCCUGAUCCAGCAAGGCCGGGUGAGUGAUGAAGGCCUUAGGGUUGUAAAGCUCUUUUACCCGGGAUGAUAAUGACAGUACCGGGAGAAUAAGCUCCGGCGAACUCCGU
RNAcentral lists this ribosomal RNA (432 nucleotides) under uncultured bacterium. Its description in RNAcentral is "partial 16S ribosomal RNA". It matches the Rfam family "Bacterial small subunit ribosomal RNA", at positions 29 to 506 of the family's 1533-position model. The record is from RNAcentral.